GCUGCCUUAGCUCAAUUGGUAGAGCAGCUGAUUUGUAAUCAGCCGGUUGGAGGUUCGAGUCCAUCAGGCAGCU
RNAcentral lists this transfer RNA (73 nucleotides) under Leptospiraceae bacterium. RNAcentral describes it as "tRNA-Thr". It matches the Rfam family "tRNA". From Rfam's summary of the family: Transfer RNA (tRNA) molecules are approximately 80 nucleotides in length. Their secondary structure includes four short double-helical elements and three loops (D, anti-codon, and T loops). The record is from RNAcentral. Lineage: Bacteria; Pseudomonadati; Spirochaetota; Leptospiria; Leptospirales; Leptospiraceae.